This 483-nucleotide ribosomal RNA is filed under the name uncultured bacterium. RNAcentral describes it as "bacterial SSU rRNA". It matches the Rfam family "Bacterial small subunit ribosomal RNA", at positions 8 to 507 of the family's 1533-position model. The record is from RNAcentral.
AGAGUUUGAUCAUGGCUCAGGAUGAACGCUGGCGGCGUGCCUAAUACAUGCAAGUCGAGCGGAGAAUUUAGCAAUAGAUUCUUAGCGGCGAAACGGGUGAGUAACGCGUUGGUGACCUGCCUCGAAGUUUGGGAUAACAGUUCGAAAGGACUGCUAAUACCGGAUGUGAUCGCGGAGAUUAGAGGCUCUGUGAUUAAAGGAGAAAAUUCGCUUCGAGAGGGGCCUGCGUCCCAUCAGCUAGUUGGUAAGGUAAAGGCUUACCAAGGCGAUGACGGGUAGGGGACCUGAGAGGGUGGCCCCCCACAAUGGAACUGAAACACGGUCCAUACACCUACGGGUGGCAGCAGUAGGGAAUAUUGCAUAAUGGGCGAAAGCCUGAUGCAGCAACGCCGCGUGUGCGAUGAAGGCCUUCGGGUCGUAAAGCACUUUUGGAGGGGAUGAGGAAGGACAGUACCCUUCGAAUAAGCUUCGGCUAACUACGUG